CAAGAGUAUUUCAGUUUGGCUAUAUGCCUCUGAAAAUCUCCACCCUUUGUUUACAUUACCUUUUGUUGUUGCCUCGGUGGGUGCUACCAUACACCUGCCGGCAGACAUCUUUAAAAUCCUUGAUUUAAUACUAUAGUCAGAGCUGUAACAAGCAAAAGAUUAAUAAAUCA
RNAcentral lists this unclassified non-coding RNA (170 nucleotides) under uncultured fungus. Its description in RNAcentral is "sequence contains ITS1". Lineage: Eukaryota; Fungi. The record is from RNAcentral.